UUUACCUUUCAAGGAUGAGAACAAAAGGAACAAUGACUAUAGUAGCAAAGGCAUUUCUAUAGACAACAAGAACAUAAUGACUCAUGCCUCUAUUAAGUGAAACUUUGGUUAUAAUAUUCAUUCCUGCAUAACCAAAUUGUAAAGAAAUCAUAGCUAUAUAAGGUUUUGAUCUUUGAAAAAAAUUGCAAUUACAUUCCCCCUCCAUUUUUUUUUU
Long non-coding RNA from Solanum stenotomum, 214 nucleotides. RefSeq lists it as uncharacterized. The transcript is spliced from 2 exons. Lineage: Eukaryota; Viridiplantae; Streptophyta; Magnoliopsida; Solanales; Solanaceae. The record is from RefSeq and is a predicted model, not a curated record.